GGAGACGUAUCGAAGAGGUCAUAACGAGCGCGACUCGAAAUCGUGUUGUCGGGCAACCGGCACGUGGGUUCGAAUCCCACCGUCUCCG
RNAcentral lists this transfer RNA (88 nucleotides) under Subdoligranulum sp. CAG:314. It matches the Rfam family "tRNA". From Rfam's summary of the family: Transfer RNA (tRNA) molecules are approximately 80 nucleotides in length. Their secondary structure includes four short double-helical elements and three loops (D, anti-codon, and T loops). The record is from Rfam by way of RNAcentral. Lineage: Bacteria; Bacillati; Bacillota; Clostridia; Eubacteriales; Oscillospiraceae.